This 497-nucleotide ribosomal RNA is filed under the name uncultured bacterium. RNAcentral describes it as "partial 16S ribosomal RNA". It matches the Rfam family "Bacterial small subunit ribosomal RNA", at positions 28 to 507 of the family's 1533-position model. The record is from RNAcentral.
GACGAACGCUGGCGGCGUGCCUAAUACAUGCAAGUAGAACGCUGAAGAGAGGAGCUUGCUCUUCUUGGAUGAGUUGCGAACGGGUGAGUAACGCGUAGGUAACCUGCCUUGUAGCGGGGGAUAACUAUUGGAAACGAUAGCUAAUACCGCAUAACAAUGGAUGACCCAUGUCAUUUAUUUGAAAGGGGCAAAUGCUCCACUACAAGAUGGACCUGCGUUGUAUUAGCUAGUAGGUGAGGUAACGGCUCACCUAGGCGACGAUACAUAGCCGACCUGAGAGGGUGAUCGGCCACACUGGGACUGAGACACGGCCCAGACUCCUACGGGAGGCAGCAGUAGGGAAUCUUCGGCAAUAGGGGCAACCCUGACCGAGCAACGCCGCGUGAGUGAAGAAGGUUUUCGGAUCGUAAAGCUCGGUUGUAAGUCAAGAACGAGUGUGAGAGUGGAAAGUUCACACUGUGACGGUAGCUUACCAGAAAGGGACGGCUAACUACGUG